AUUGAACGCUGGCGGCAGGCCUAACACAUGCAAGCCGGACGGUAGCACAGAGAGCUUGCUCUUGGGUGACGAGUGGCGGACGGGUGAGUAAUGUCUGGGGAUCUGCCCGAUAGAGGGGGAUAACCACUGGAAACGGUGGCUAAUACAGCAUAACGUCGCAAGACCAAAGAGGGGGAACUUCGGGCCUCUCACGAUCGGAUGAACCCAGAUGGGAUUAGCUAGUAGGCGGGGUAAUGGCUCACCUAGGCGACGAGCCGUAGCUGGUCUGAGAGGAUGACCAGCCACACUGGAACCGAGACACGGUCUAGACUCCUACGGGAGGCAGCAGUGGGGAAUAUUGCACAAUGGGCGCAAGCCUGAUGCAGCCAUGCCGCGUGUAUGAAGAAGGCCUUCGGGUUGUAAAGUACUUUCAGCGGGGAGGAAGGCGGUGAGGUUAAUAACCUUGCCGAUUGACGUUACCCGCAGAAGAAGCACCGGCUAACUCCGUGCCAGCCGCCGCCGUAA
This 504-nucleotide ribosomal RNA is filed under the name uncultured bacterium. RNAcentral describes it as "partial 16S ribosomal RNA". It matches the Rfam family "Bacterial small subunit ribosomal RNA", at positions 29 to 523 of the family's 1533-position model. The record is from RNAcentral.